RNAcentral lists this transfer RNA (67 nucleotides) under Georissa bangueyensis. RNAcentral's name for it is "tRNA-Phe". Lineage: Eukaryota; Metazoa; Mollusca; Gastropoda; Cycloneritida; Hydrocenidae. The record is from RNAcentral.
GCUUAAAAUAGCUUAAUUAUUAAAGCUUGAUAUUGAAGCUAUCACGAUGGCCCUUCGCCUUUAAGCA